This 24-nucleotide ribosomal RNA is filed under the name Diadegma mollipla. Its description in RNAcentral is "partial 28S ribosomal RNA". Lineage: Eukaryota; Metazoa; Arthropoda; Insecta; Hymenoptera; Ichneumonidae. The record is from RNAcentral.
ACGACCUCAGAGCAGGCGAGACUA